GGGGACAUAGCUCAGGUUGGGAGAGCGUCGCCUUUGCACGGCGAAGGUCAGGGGUUCGAGUCCCCUUGUCUCCA
Molecule: transfer RNA, 74 nt
Filed under: Candidatus Altarchaeales archaeon
Lineage: Archaea; Nanobdellati; Candidatus Altarchaeota; Candidatus Altarchaeia; Candidatus Altarchaeales
Description: tRNA-Ala
Rfam family: tRNA
About the family: Transfer RNA (tRNA) molecules are approximately 80 nucleotides in length.
Source: RNAcentral